RNAcentral lists this ribosomal RNA (433 nucleotides) under uncultured bacterium. RNAcentral's name for it is "partial 16S ribosomal RNA". It matches the Rfam family "Bacterial small subunit ribosomal RNA", at positions 29 to 506 of the family's 1533-position model. The record is from RNAcentral.
AGCGGACGCUGGCGGCAGGCCUAACACAUGCAAGUCGAACGAACCUUUCGGGGUUAGUAGCGGACGGGUGAGUAACACGUGGGAACGUGCCUUUAGGUUCGGAAUAACUCAGGGAAACUUGUGCUAAUACCGAAUGUGCCCUUCGGGGGAAAGAUUUAUCGCCUUUAGAGCGGCCCGCGUCUGAUUAGCUAGUUGGUUGAGGUAAUGGCUCACCAAGGCGACGAUCAGUAGCUGGUCUGAGGGGAUGAUCAGCCACAUUGGGACUGAGACACGGCCCAAACUCCUACGGGAGGCAGCAGUGGGGAAUCUUGCGCAAUGGGCGAAAGCCUGACGCAGCCAUGCCGCGUGAAUGAUGAAGGUCUUAGGAUUGUAAAAUUCUUUCACCGGGGACGAUAAUGACGGUACCCGGAGAAGAAGCCCCGGCGAACUUCGU